UACGUAGGGCGCAAGCGUUGUCCGGAAUUAUUGGGCGUAAAGAGCUCGUAGGCGGCUUGUCACGUCGAUUGUGAAAGCCCGAGGCUUAACCUCGGGUCUGCAGUCGAUACGGGCUAGCUAGAGUGUGGUAGGGGAGAUCGGAAUUCCUGGUGUAGCGGUGAAAUGCGCAGAUAUCAGGAGGAACACCGGUGGCGAAGGCGGAUCUCUGGGCCAUUACUGACGCUGAGGAGCGAAAGCGUGGGGAGCGAACCGG
This 253-nucleotide ribosomal RNA is filed under the name uncultured bacterium. RNAcentral's name for it is "partial 16S ribosomal RNA". It matches the Rfam family "Bacterial small subunit ribosomal RNA", at positions 524 to 776 of the family's 1533-position model. The record is from RNAcentral.